AGAGUUUGAUCCUGGCUCAGGAUGAACGCUGGCGGCGUGCCUAAUACAUGCAAGUCGAACGAAGGUACUUGUACCUUAGUGGCGAACGGGUGAGUAACACGUAGGUAAUCUGCCCUCAAGACGAGGAUAACUGUUGGAAACGACAGCUAAUACUGGAUAGGUAUAUAGGAGGCAUCUCUUUUAUAUUAAAGGACCACUGGUAUGCUUGGGGAUGAACCUGCGGCGCAUUAGUUAGUUGGUGAGGUAAUGGCUCACCAAGACGAUGAUGCGUAGCCGGACUGAGAGGUUGAACGGCCACAUUGGGACUGAGACACGGCCCAAACUCCUACGGGAGGCAGCAGUAGGGAAUUUUCGGCAAUGGAGGAAACUCUGACCGAGCAACGCCGCGUGAAUGAAGACAUAUUUCGGUAUGUAAAGUUCUUUUAUUAGGGAAGAAUAGCCCAUGGAAAAAUGGGUGUGACGGUACCUAAUGAAUAAGCCCCGGCUAACUAUGUGCCAGCAGCCGCGGUAAUACGGAGGGGGUUAGCGUUGUUCGGAAUUACUGGGCGUAAAGCGCGCGUAGGCGGACCAGAAAGUUGGGGGUGAAAUCCCGGGGCUCAACCCCGGAACGGCCUCCAAAACUCCUGGUCUUGAGUUCGAGAGAGGUGAGUGGAAUUCCGAGUGUAGAGGUGAAAUUCGUAGAUAUUCGGAGGAACACCAGUGGCGAAAGCGGCUCACUGGCUCGAUACUGACGCUGAGGUGCGAAAGUGUGGGGAGCAAACAGGAUUAGAUACCCUGUAGUCCACACCGUAAACGAUGAAUGCCAGUCGUCGG
RNAcentral lists this ribosomal RNA (813 nucleotides) under uncultured marine bacterium. Its description in RNAcentral is "bacterial SSU rRNA". It matches the Rfam family "Bacterial small subunit ribosomal RNA", at positions 8 to 826 of the family's 1533-position model. The record is from RNAcentral.